This 271-nucleotide ribosomal RNA is filed under the name uncultured archaeon. RNAcentral's name for it is "partial 16S ribosomal RNA". It matches the Rfam family "Bacterial small subunit ribosomal RNA", at positions 524 to 794 of the family's 1533-position model. The record is from RNAcentral.
UACGAAGGGUGCAAACGUUGCUCGGAAUUACUGGGCGUAAAGCGCACGUAGGCGGCUUAGUAAGUCGGAAGUGAAAGCCCUCGGCUCAACCAAGGAAGUGCUUUCGAAACUGCUGAGCUUGAGUACUUAAGAGGAUCGCGGAAUUCCCGGUGUAGAGGUGAAAUUCGUAGAUAUCGGGAGGAACACCAGUGGCGAAGGCGGCUACCUGGACAAUUACUGACGCUCAGGCACGAAAGCGUGGGGAGCAAAAGGGAUUAGAAACCCUAGUAGU